GCCCUGGCCGAAAACCUGCUCCGCCACGUGCUGACGGUGGUGCGCUCGGUUCCGCAGAUUGCCGGGACACUGGUGAUCAGCCGGGAUACCAAGGUGCUGGCAAUUGCCCGAGACUUUCACGCCAACACCGUCCUCGAAAGCGGGCAGCCGGAGCUCAAUCACGCCCUGGCGCGCGCGACGCAGGUGGUCGCGAGCUGGAAGGGGAGCGCUGUCCUGAUUCUGCCGGCCGACCUGCC
This 236-nucleotide unclassified non-coding RNA is filed under the name plant metagenome. RNAcentral's name for it is "partial contains 5.8S ribosomal RNA, internal transcribed spacer 2, and large subunit ribosomal RNA". The record is from RNAcentral.